Molecule: ribosomal RNA, 497 nt
Filed under: uncultured bacterium
Lineage: Bacteria
Description: partial 16S ribosomal RNA
Rfam family: Bacterial small subunit ribosomal RNA
Source: RNAcentral
GAUGAACGCUGGCGGCGUGCCUAAUACAUGCAAGUCGAGCGAACAGAUGAGGAGCUUGCUCCUCUGACGUUAGCGGCGGACGGGUGAGUAACACGUGGAUAACCUACCUAUAAGACUGGGAUAACUUCGGGAAACCGGAGCUAAUACCGGAUAAUAUAUUGAACCGCAUGGUUCAAUAGUGAAAGACGGUUUUGCUGUCACUUAUAGAUGGAUCCGCGCCGCAUUAGCUAGUUGGUAAGGUAACGGCUUACCAAGGCGACGAUGCGUAGCCGACCUGAGAGGGUGAGCGGCCACAGUGGGACUUAGCCACGGACCAGAAUACGACGGGAGGCAGCAGUAGGGAAUCUUGCGCAAUGGGCGACAGCUUGACGGAGCAACGCCGCGUGAGUGAUGAAUGUCUUAGUAUCGUAAAACUCUGUGAGUAUGCAAGAACAAAUGUGCAAGGUACUAUGCACGUAUUGACCGUACCUAAUCAGAGAGCCACGGCUAACUACGUG